AUAUUAUUAUACUUAGAAUUCUCACAAUUCAGGUUUUGGGGAUUGUUUAAUUAAUUUAUUUAACCUCUCGGUUUAAAAAUCCGCAAAAAUCAGAAUUGAAGUGGGAAUUCUUCAAUGCCUUCUCUGAGAUUGAAUUUUUUUGUAAAUGGGCAUUGAUGCAAAACCUGUGAGAAAGAGCUUUUGGGGUUUUAAUCUGAAAAGUAGAUAUUGAAGAAAAGAUAAUUAACUGAAGAGGGAAAUAACAAGCAGUUGGAGGCAAUCAGAGAGUUACUAGCAUAAAGUAAUAUGGACUGUAAUAAAGAUGGGGCCAUUAGAGCUAAA
Hibiscus syriacus is the source of this 321-nucleotide long non-coding RNA. RefSeq lists it as uncharacterized. The transcript is spliced from 3 exons. Lineage: Eukaryota; Viridiplantae; Streptophyta; Magnoliopsida; Malvales; Malvaceae. The record is from RefSeq and is a predicted model, not a curated record.